This 253-nucleotide ribosomal RNA is filed under the name uncultured bacterium. RNAcentral describes it as "partial 16S ribosomal RNA". It matches the Rfam family "Bacterial small subunit ribosomal RNA", at positions 524 to 776 of the family's 1533-position model. The record is from RNAcentral.
UACGAAGGGGGCUAGCGUUGCUCGGAAUGACUGGGCGUAAAGGGCGCGUAGGCGGAUUGCUUUGUCAGACGUGAAAUUCCAGGGCUCAACCUUGGGGCUGCGUUUGAGACGGGUGAUCUUGAGUUCGGAAGAGGGUCGUGGAAUUCCCAGUGUAGAGGUGAAAUUCGUAGAUAUUGGGAAGAACACCGGUGGCGAAGGCGGCGACCUGGUCCGAGACUGACGCUGAGGCGCGAAAGCGUGGGGAGCAAACGGG